Molecule: ribosomal RNA, 1343 nt
Filed under: uncultured bacterium
Lineage: Bacteria
Description: 16S ribosomal RNA
Rfam family: Bacterial small subunit ribosomal RNA
Source: RNAcentral
GACGAACGCUGGCGGCGUGCUUAACACAUGCAAGUCGAACGGAAAGGCCCUGCUUUUGUGGGGUGCUCGAGUGGCGAACGGGUGAGUAACACGUGAGUAACCUGCCCUUGACUUUGGGAUAACUUCAGGAAACUGGGGCUAAUACCGGAUAGGAGCUCCUGCUGCAUGGUGGGGGUUGGAAAGUUUCGGCGGUUGGGGAUGGACUCGCGGCUUAUCAGCUUGUUGGUGGGGUAGUGGCUUACCAAGGCUUUGACGGGUAGCCGGCCUGAGAGGGUGACCGGCCACAUUGGGACUGAGAUACGGCCCAGACUCCUACGGGAGGCAGCAGUGGGGAAUAUUGCACAAUGGGCGGAAGCCUGAUGCAGCAACGCCGCGUGCGGGAUGACGGCCUUCGGGUUGUAAACCGCUUUCGCCUGUGACGAAGCGUGAGUGACGGUAAUGGGUAAAGAAGCACCGGCUAACUACGUGCCAGCAGCCGCGGUGAUACGUAGGGUGCGAGCGUUGUCCGGAUUUAUUGGGCGUAAAGGGCUCGUAGGUGGUUGAUCGCGUCGGAAGUGUAAUCUUGGGGCUUAACCCUGAGCGUGCUUUCGAUACGGGUUGACUUGAGGAAGGUAGGGGAGAAUGGAAUUCCUGGUGGAGCGGUGGAAUGCGCAGAUAUCAGGAGGAACACCAGUGGCGAAGGCGGUUCUCUGGGCCUUUCCUGACGCUGAGGAGCGAAAGCGUGGGGAGCGAACAGGCUUAGAUACCCUGGUAGUCCACGCUGUAAACGGUGGGUACUAGGUGUGGGGUCCAUUCCACGGGUUCCGUGCCGUAGCUAACGCUUUAAGUACCCCGCCUGGGGAGUACGGCCGCAAGGCUAAAACUCAAAGGAGUUGACGGGGCCCCGCACAAGCGGCGGAGCAUGCGGAUUAAUUCGAUGCAACGCGUAGAACCUUACCUGGGUUUGACAUGGAUCGGGAGUGCUCAGAGAUGGGUGUGCCUCUUUUGGGGUCGGUUCACAGGUGGUGCAUGCCUGUCGUCAGCUCGUGUCGUGAGAUGUUGGGUUAAGUCCCGCAACGAGCGCAACCCUUGUUCACUGUUGCCAGCACGUUAUGGUGGGGACUCAGUGGAGACCGCCGGGGUCAACUCGGAGGAAGGUGGGGAUGACGUCAAGUCAUCAUGCCCCUUAUGUCCAGGGCUUCACGCAUGCUACAAUGGCUGGUACAGAGAGUGGCGAGCCUGUGAGGGUGAGCGAAUCUCGGAAAGCCGGUCUCAGUUCGGAUUGGGGUCUGCAACUCGACCUCAUGAAGUCGGAGUCGCUAGUAAUCGCAGAUCAGCAACGCUGCGGUGAAUACGUUCCCGGG